Molecule: ribosomal RNA, 273 nt
Filed under: uncultured bacterium
Lineage: Bacteria
Description: partial 16S ribosomal RNA
Rfam family: Bacterial small subunit ribosomal RNA
Source: RNAcentral
UACGGAGGGGGCUAGCGUUGUCCGGAGUCACUGGGCGUAAAGCGCGCGUAGGCGGCCUGUUAAGUUGGAUGUGAAAGCCCGGGGCUCAACCCCGGAUGCGCAUCCGAGACUGGCAGGCUGGAGUCCGGGAGAGGGCGGCGGAAUUCCCAGUGUAGAGGUGAAAUUCGUAGAUAUUGGGAAGAACACCGGUGGCGAAGGCGGCCGCCUGGCCCGGAACUGACGCUGAGGCGCGAAAGCGUGGGGAGCAAACAGGAUUAGAAACCCCUGUAGUCC